RNAcentral lists this ribosomal RNA (1369 nucleotides) under Clostridium sp. RNAcentral's name for it is "bacterial SSU rRNA". It matches the Rfam family "Bacterial small subunit ribosomal RNA". Lineage: Bacteria; Bacillati; Bacillota; Clostridia; Eubacteriales; Clostridiaceae. The record is from RNAcentral.
AAAGGGAUAGCCUCGGGAAACUGGGAUUAAUACCUUAUGAUACUUUUUUACCGCAUGGUGAAGAAGUUAAAGCGUAAAGCGGUGAAAGAUGGUCUCGCGUCCCAUUAGUUAGUUGGUGAGGUAACGGCUCACCAAGACCGCGAUGGGUAGCCGGCCUGAGAGGGUGAACGGCCACACUGGAACUGAGACACGGUCCAGACUCCUACGGGAGGCAGCAGUGGGGAAUAUUGCACAAUGGGGGAAACUCUGAUGCAGCGACGCCGCGUGAACGAUGAAGGCCUUCGGGUCGUAAAGUUCUGUCCUAGGGACGAUAAUGACGGUACCCUAGGAGGAAGCCCCGGCUAACUACGUGCCAGCAGCCGCGGUAAUACGUAGGGGGCGAGCGUUGUCCGGAAUUAUUGGGCGUAAAGGGUUCGUAGGCGGUUUUUUAAGUCAGGUGUGAAAGGCAUAGGCUCAACCUGUGUAAGCACUUGAAACUGAAAGACUUGAGUGAAGGAGAGGAAAGUGGAAUUCCUAGUGUAGCGGUGAAAUGCGUAGAUAUUAGGAGGAAUACCAGUGGCGAAGGCGACUUUCUGGAACUUAACUGACGCUGAGGAACGAAAGCGNGGGGAGCAAACAGGAUUAGAUACCCUGGUAGUCCACGCCGUAAACGAUGAGUGCUAGGUGUUGGGGGUCAACCUCGGUGCCGCAGCUAACGCAUUAAGCACUCCGCCUGGGGAGUACGUACGCAAGAUGAAACUCAAAGGAAUUGACGGGGACCCGCACAAGCAGCGGACAUGUGGUUUAAUUCGAAGCAACGCGAAGAACCUUACCAGGACUUGACAUGCCCCUGACCGGUCUAGAGAUAGAUCUUUACCUUCGGGUACAGGGGACACAGGUGGUGCAUGGUUGUCGUCAGCUCGUGUCGUGAGAUGUUGGGUUAAGUCCCGCAACGAGCGCAACCCUUGCCUUUAGUUGCCAUCAUUAAGUUGGGCACUCUAGAGGGACUGCCGAUGAUAAAUCAGGAGGAAGGUGGGGAUGACGUCAAAUCAUCAUGCCCUUUAUGUCCUGGGCUACACACGUGCUACAAUGGUCGGUACAACGAGGAGCUACCUAGCGAUAGGAUGCAAAUCUCUAAAAGCCGAUCCCAGUUCGGAUUGUAGGCUGCAACUCGCCUACAUGAAGUCGGAGUUGCUAGUAAUCGCGAAUCAGAAUGUCGCGGUGAAUGCGUUCCCGGGUCUUGUACACACCGCCCGUCACACCAUGGGAGUUGGCAAUACCCGAAGCCAGUGAGCUAACCGUAAGGAGGCAGCUGUCGAAGGUAGGGUCAAUGACUGGGGUGAAGUCGUAACAAGGUAGCCGUAUCGGAAGGUGCGGCUGGAUCACCUCC